GACGAACGCUGGCGGCGUGCCUAAUACAUGCAAGUAGAACGCUGAAGGAGGAGCUUGCUUCUCUGGAUGAGUUGCGAACGGGUGAGUAACGCGUAGGUAACCUGCCUGGUAGCGGGGGAUAACUAUUGGAAACGAUAGCUAAUACCGCAUAAUAGUAGAUGUUGCAUGACAUUUGCUUAAAAGGUGCAAUUGCAUCACUACCAGAUGGACCUGCGUUGUAUUAGCUAGUUGGUGAGGUAACGGCUCACCAAGGCAACGAUACAUAGCCGACCUGAGAGGGUGAUCGGCCACACUGGGACUGAGACACGGCCCAGACUCCUACGGGAGGCAGCAGUAGGGAAUCUUCGGCAAUGGACGGAAGUCUGACCGAGCAACGCCGCGUGAGUGAAGAAGGUUUUCGGAUCGUAAAGCUCUGUUGUAAGAGAAGAACGAGUGUGAGAGUAGAAAGUUCACACUGUGACGGUAUCUUACCAGAAAGGGACGGCUAACUACGUG
Molecule: ribosomal RNA, 495 nt
Filed under: uncultured bacterium
Lineage: Bacteria
Description: partial 16S ribosomal RNA
Rfam family: Bacterial small subunit ribosomal RNA
Source: RNAcentral